GCUUACGGCCAUACCAACCUGGCUAUGCCUUAUCUCGUCUGAUCUCGGGAAGCUAAGCAGGUUUGGGCCUGGUUAGUACUUGGAUGGGAGACCGCCUGGGAACACCAGGUGCUGUAAGCU
This 120-nucleotide ribosomal RNA is filed under the name Carassius auratus (goldfish). Lineage: Eukaryota; Metazoa; Chordata; Actinopteri; Cypriniformes; Cyprinidae. The record is from RNAcentral.